This 253-nucleotide ribosomal RNA is filed under the name uncultured bacterium. RNAcentral's name for it is "partial 16S ribosomal RNA". It matches the Rfam family "Bacterial small subunit ribosomal RNA", at positions 524 to 776 of the family's 1533-position model. The record is from RNAcentral.
UACAUGUGGGGCAAGCGUUGUUCGGAAUUACUGGGCAUAAAGGGUGCGUAGGCGGCUUGUUAAGUCAGGGGUGAAAGUUUUCGGCCCAACCGGAAAAUUGCCUUUGAUACUGGCGAGCUGGAGUGCGUGAGGGGUGACCGGAACGAGUGGUGUAGCGGUGAAAUGCGUAGAUAUCACUCGGAAGGCCAACGGCGAAGGCAGGUCACUGGUGCGCAACUGACGCUGAGGCGCGAAAGCGUGGGGAUCAAACAGG